RNAcentral lists this ribosomal RNA (497 nucleotides) under uncultured bacterium. RNAcentral's name for it is "bacterial SSU rRNA". It matches the Rfam family "Bacterial small subunit ribosomal RNA", at positions 29 to 513 of the family's 1533-position model. The record is from RNAcentral.
AGUGAACGCUGGCGGCAGGCCUAAUACAUGCAAGUCGAACGGCAGCACAGCAGAGCUUGCUCUGUGGGUGGCGAGUGGCGGACGGGUGAGGAAUACAUGGGAAUCUGCCCAGUCGUGGGGGAUAACGUAGGGAAACUUACGCUAAUACCGCAUGCGCCCUUCGGGGGAAAGCCGGGGACCUUCGGGCCUGGCGCGAUUGGAUGAGCCCAUGUCGGAUUAGCUAGUUGGCGGGGUAAUGGCCCACCAAGGCGACGAUCCGUAGCUGGUCUGAGAGGAUGAUCAGCCACACUGGAACUGAGACACGGUCCAGACUCCUACGGGAGGCAGCAGUAGGGAAUAUUGGACAAUGGGCGGCAAGCCUGAUCCAGCCAUGCCGCGUGAGUGAAGAAGGCCCUCGGGUUGUAAAGCUCUUUUGUCCGGAAAGAAAAGCGCCGGGUUAAUACCCUGGUGUCCUGACGGUACCGGAAGAAUAAGCACCGGCUAACUUCGUGCCAGCA